UGCGACGAGUUGACUCAACCAGAUGAUCGUUUCGAUCAUUCCGAUUUUAUCGGCGUGUGGUUGGUUAAUGCAGAGGCACAGAUGUUCACUCAUCAACUACCGGAUUGUAGGCGUGUCGGAUGAAGUUUUUGUGGAGAAA
RNAcentral lists this non-coding RNA (139 nucleotides) under Candidatus Enterococcus clewellii. Its description in RNAcentral is "Enterococcus sp. 9E7_DIV0242 Enterococcus sRNA 68 (Lacto-3 RNA)". It matches the Rfam family "Enterococcus sRNA 68 (Lacto-3 RNA)". From Rfam's summary of the family: Name 'Ref' stands for RNA in E. faecalis. Also known as Lacto-3 RNA. Lineage: Bacteria; Bacillati; Bacillota; Bacilli; Lactobacillales; Enterococcaceae. The record is from Rfam by way of RNAcentral.